AAUUUUUGUAUUCAAAACGAUUUGAACACUUUUCCAAACGUUAAGAGGAGCAAGAGGAGCGUGUGCAGAUUCAAAUCAGAACGUGCCCUAACGGCACUCAAAGGAGCGUGUCUAGAUUCAAUUCAGAACGUGCCCUAACGACACCCAAAUUACAGGGCAAUGGUCGUUAAAAAAGCAAUGACCGUUAAAAAAAACAGAAAUUCAUAUCUUAUAAAUGAACAGUUUACUUGACAAGCAGGACAGAUUUCUUGUUUUGUUUUCUUUUUGGUUGAUUUGUCUCCCAUUGUAUGUUUUUGGCGUGGCCAUGCCUAUUUUUGAAAUUUGUUUUCCUGAAUUUUGGUUUUGAAUUUUGGUUUCCUGAGUCUUGGUAUUUCGUGUAUCGUCUUUUUUUUUUGGUGGGUUGUCAUUUUUUAAUGGUCAUUUAGUAUUCAGCAGGAAUAACUCUACAGUCUGGAGUGGCUGAUUGGAGAUGUGGACAGAAAAUAGGCAAAGCCAGAGGUGAUCGACUUUGCUUGACCAUUUUAACAGUAUCUUGGUCACCAUGUUGUGGAAGUAAGCUUAUUUCUUGGUUCUAUCAUCCAUGCAUGGUGAGAUUUUAUGUUUCUUGUAUAUUGGCUUUCUUGUUCUCAAAUCUACUGAGUGUUUAUAUUGGUCCCUAUUUUACAAUGCUCUUUCUGCACGACUUUAGGUAGUUUUUUAUUCUUUUGUGUUUUCAAUGUUGCUCGAUGUUAUAGUUGAUUCUUAUAUAUUCUCAAAACCUUCAACAUAUUUCAUGCUUCAUAAUUCAAGAUUAAGGUAUCUUUGUGUGCAUUUGGAUCGAUUGCUGCAUUCCCGACAUAGCCUUUUCGUCAAAUCUAUUCUGUGCAUACACUGAAAUUAUUUUACUCUAUUUCUUUUGUUUGAAGCAUUAUGAGUUGUACCUUGACUAUACUUCCAUUUUGUGCAUACAAUGAAAUUAUUUUAUUCUAUUCUUUUAUUUUGAAGCAUUAUGAGUUGUACAUUGACCAUACUUCCACAGUUUGCAUGCAUGUGGACUUUGUUAUCUCUGUUUAAUAGAGGGCUUGUGUGCACGAUUGGUGUGUUACCCUUUUUAUUUUAUCUUUACAGUUUGCAUGUAUACAACUUCUGACGAAUUUCUGUGUCUUUUGCGUUUUGCACCUAUCUGUUUAUUUAAAAAAUAGUUUGCAUAACUUAUUUAUGCAUUUUGCAUACAUGAUUACCAACAUGCAAGAUCAUUAGAAACAAUAUCAUAGAAAAUCAUCCAGAAAAUGACUUUUUUUCAAGUAGACUUCUAAUGACUAGCAUGGUUACCAAACAUUUGUAAUCUUAACAUCUGAAAAAGUGAUUACACCAAAAUAGAAGUCCAGGCAAGUAAGGCAGCAUGGUAUCUUGCCAAUACUAAAACAAUACCAUAAUAAAUCGUAUAGAAACUUAAUAUUAUUGGUAUUUCCA
This is a long non-coding RNA of Cryptomeria japonica (Japanese cedar), 1452 nucleotides long. RefSeq lists it as uncharacterized. The transcript is spliced from 2 exons. NCBI's taxonomy places the organism in Eukaryota, Viridiplantae, Streptophyta, Pinopsida, Cupressales, Cupressaceae. The record is from RefSeq and is a predicted model, not a curated record.